RNAcentral lists this unclassified non-coding RNA (574 nucleotides) under Hevea brasiliensis (rubber tree). The record is from RNAcentral. Lineage: Eukaryota; Viridiplantae; Streptophyta; Magnoliopsida; Malpighiales; Euphorbiaceae.
CUGCAGCAUUCACCUGCAAUAAUUAUCAGGUUUGUCAAAAGAUAUGGAAAAACACAAAUUAUUAUGUCAACAACAAUAGACACAGUUCUCUGAAUUCAGUUCAGAAUCUGCAAUAUGAUUCCCAAAGGCAGUAUAUAGGUGCACAACUAAAACAGUUUCAAGGCCACGUACAAACAAACAUCAUAAUCCACACUUGUAACAUCUUCCUAAUUCUGGGUGAGAUUACAGAAAUGAGGACCAGACAUGGCAAUGAAGCGGAGUAGAUUGAACAUAGCAAGACAGUUUGGAAAAUAUGUACUGUCCCAAAAAGGACAUAUUACCUAAAACUACAAUGGAUGAACUUUCAGGCAACUCAUAAUCGCAAAUGACCAUGUUCAAAAGACACAUAAGGUUAAGGCAACAAACAAGAUGUAGAAUCCACCAGGAUAACCAGAGAGAGAGAGGAGGUACCUCAAAUAAAGUCAAAUCACUACCACCUGUUAUGUUCCAUACAAUUCCAGUUGCCCUCUCUAUACCAAUAUCCAAUAAAGGUGAUUGGAUUGCAUUUAAUGCAGCAUCCCUUGCCCUCGUUUUC